RNAcentral lists this transfer RNA (632 nucleotides) under uncultured Prochlorococcus sp. RNAcentral's name for it is "partial 16S-23S ribosomal RNA intergenic spacer". The stretch from base 251 to 323 matches the Rfam family "tRNA". The record is from RNAcentral. Lineage: Bacteria; Bacillati; Cyanobacteriota; Cyanophyceae; Synechococcales; Prochlorococcaceae.
CAGGGAGACAAUAAAUUGAUUGUGAUGUCUAAGUUAUUUAUUCUUAGGCCGCAAUCCUGUCACCUUAAGGUCGAUCGGUACCUCAGAUUUUUGAAUUAGUUUUAUAAUUGAUUCUUUGAUUUCAGUUCCUAAACUUGUCUAGGUCACACCCAACAAAGGUUUCUCCUGGGCCAUUAGCUCAGGUGGUUAGAGCGCACCCCUGAUAAGGGUGAGGUCCCUGGUUCAAGUCCAGGAUGGCCCAUUCGUUGUUGGGGGUAUAGCUCAGUUGGUAGAGCGCCUGCUUUGCAAGCAGGAUGUCAGCGGUUCGAGUCCGCUUACCUCCACUGAAAACUAUCCUGAUAACUAAAUUCUGGAGAAAAAAAUUGUAGAUGUGGCUUAGAAUUGUCUAUUUGAAGAGAACCUAGCUUCUUGUCAUCUUUUUAUAGUUGAUAAAAUGCUGGGCUCGCAUGGAUUAUUUCCAUGAGAAUUCAGUAGAACCUUGAAAACUGCAUAGAUUAGAAAGAAUAAAGCAUCUCAUGGAUGCAUAAUUCUGUUUUUGUAAUUUAGCCUUAAAACUAAAUUAUAAAAUUCUAGAAUUCAUGUUUAAUUCUUGAGUAAAAGCCGAGCACAAUUGAUUUUGUGAUUGUAUUUAA